AUGAGACACCUCAAGCAACACCUACCGCUACAGGCAACCAGAGAGUUCUUGGCACUAUGGGAAGGGAUCAGCGGCACUGUCCUAUUGACGACGCAUGACCAAGUGCGGUGGAGAUGGACCUCCGACGGGAUUUACACGGCCCGGUCGGCAUACCUGAUCCAGUUUGAGGGAUGCACCAGGAGUGGCUUCGCCGACUUUAUCUGGAACACAGACGCGCCUGGCAAGUGCAAACUGUUUGCGUGGUUGGCAAUGCUUGGGCGUUGCAACACUGCCGACGUUCUAGCCAAGAAGGGCUGGCCACAUAAUGCAACCUGCUCUUUCUGUGACGGACCAAUGGAAGAUGCCAUUCACCUGCUGGCAACAUGCCCGUUCAUGCCGCAGAUUUGGCAUGCCGUCCUCCGCCAGUGCGGUCUACCUCAGGAGCUUGCCCCAUGCCCAGCCACAGAAUCCCUGUCACAAUGGGCUGAGCCCACAACCUCUAUGCGUCCGGCGGUGCAAAGCAAGAAGUGGAGUGCCUUGGUACAACUAGUCUGGUGGUCAACUUGGAAUGAACGCAACGCUAGAAUCUUCCGGAACCAGCAAUCAUCAGCACACACAGUGGUCGACAAGAUGAUUGAGGAGGCAAACGUGUGGCGAACUGCUGGACGAGGCAAUGUCAGCUCCUUGCUGAACAGACCCAGGGAACCGAUUAAGGAAUUGCGCUAG
Molecule: ribosomal RNA, 705 nt
Filed under: Triticum aestivum (bread wheat)
Lineage: Eukaryota; Viridiplantae; Streptophyta; Magnoliopsida; Poales; Poaceae
Description: partial small subunit ribosomal RNA
Source: RNAcentral